Molecule: long non-coding RNA, 1113 nt
Filed under: Hordeum vulgare
Lineage: Eukaryota; Viridiplantae; Streptophyta; Magnoliopsida; Poales; Poaceae
Description: long non-coding RNA (HVUL_LNC001855)
Source: RNAcentral
GCUGCCAAUUUGCCAAUUCCCCGAUGGGAAUAACCAUCGUUGGCUGCCGUUAGUGGCUCGCCACACCGCCGGCCUCCGUGGUAGACCGUCGUGGUGGGGCGUCACCGCUGGCUAGGCUCGCAUCGAGCCGCCGCUCUUGGCCUCUGCCGCCCCAGAGGCUGAGCAACGCUGUGCAGGACUGAUGGCCUUCAUCUCCAGUAGUGCGCCGAGGCCACGCCUCCUCCUCGUACGACUGACUGCGCUUGAGAAGAGCCGCCUCCGCCGCGGGAGGGUCACAGCCACGCACAGCCUGAAGCCGCCUGUGGCCUCUUGGCGCCAUCAGGCCGCUCGAGGCCGGGCCAAAGCCGCGACGUGGCCAUGCUGUUACACACUUGAUGACGCCACCACUGGCUGGGUUGCCGCGCCCGUGAACCGCUGUCGCGUCGGGCUGGACGACGCCAUGGGCACAAAACGCCUUUGAGUCGGGUGUGGAGCAUACCUGUCACCGUCUUUCCUUUGCAUCGGAGGGCGCCGCGUGCUAGCCGGUAGGCCACGUCUGCGUCGGGGCUGAUGGCAUCGUUCGUUAUGGACGCCGGAGUUAUCGUUGCCAUGUGCUGCCGCCGGUCCACAUGCGUCUCUUGAGAACGCCGCCGCUCGAUCCCGUUCCCGUGGCAUGGGACACUCUGUCACAGAUCGUUCCUAUGUGCUGAUCGAAAGACAAGACGAGAGAAUAAUGCAUAGAUUAGUUGAUUGGUUUCAACGAAAGAGCAGUGAAGUAACCGGCCAAUGCAUUAAGGAUUGGAUCUGUGCAUGCGAUUGCAUGCUAAUUCGUCGAUGCUGAUCGAUUUUAUUUUGCGUGUCUACAUGUCCAUCAAUGACUUGUUCCGCGGGCAUCAAACGACGAGGCCAAAUCCUCUCAGGAUAAUGUAGCGAUUCAGGCAAUCGCUGCCGCAAGCAAGUAGGGCACUCGCAGUGGAGCGCAUGUCAACGCUGCGGCCCAAGACGGCAGUAUUCGUUGCCGGAAAUGUAUCCAUUGCUUCCAUCGCCCACGCCGAAAUCUUGGUUCUUCACUUCCCGGCGCCUGUGCGUAACCGCCAUCUCGCACACUUUUUUUCGCGGUAGAGACUAUGUGUU